This 492-nucleotide ribosomal RNA is filed under the name uncultured bacterium. RNAcentral's name for it is "partial 16S ribosomal RNA". It matches the Rfam family "Bacterial small subunit ribosomal RNA", at positions 29 to 507 of the family's 1533-position model. The record is from RNAcentral.
AGUGAACGCUGGCGGUAGGCCUAACACAUGCAAGUCGAACGGCAGCACAGUAAGAGCUUGCUCUUACGGGUGGCGAGUGGCGGACGGGUGAGGAAUACAUCGGAAUCUACUUUUUCGUGGGGGAUAACGUAGGGAAACUUACGCUAAUACCGCAUACGACCUACGGGUGAAAGCAGGGGAUCUUCGGACCUUGCGCGAUUGAAUGAGCCGAUGUCGGAUUAGCUAGUUGGCGGGGUAAAGGCCCACCAAGGCGACGAUCCGUAGCUGGUCUGAGAGGAUGAUCAGCCUCACUGGAACUGAGACACGGUCCAGACUCCUACGGGAGGCAGCAGUGGGGAAUAUUGGACAAUGGGCGCAAGCCUGAUCCAGCCAUACCGCGUGGGUGAAGAAGGCCUUCGGGUUGUAAAGCCCUUUUGUUGGGAAAGAAAAGCAGCAGGUUAAUACCCCGCUGUUCUGACGGUACCCAAAGAAUAAGCACCGGCUAACUUCGCG